GAUGAACGCUGGCGGCGUGCCUAAUACAUGCAAGUCGAGCGAACAGACGAGGAGCUUGCUCCUCUGACGUUAGCGGCGGACGUGUGAGUAACACGUGGAUAACCUACCUAUAAGACUUGUAUAUCUUCGGGAAACCGGAGCUAAUACCGGAUAAUAUAUUGAACCUCAUUGUUCAAUAGUUAAAUACUGUUUUUCUGCCACUUAUAGAUUGAUCCGCGCCGCAUUAGCUAGUUGGUAAGGUAACGGCUUACCAAGGCAACGAUUCGUAGCCGACCUGAGAGGGUGAUCGGCCACACUGGAACUGAGACACGGUACAGACGACUAAGGGAGGCAGCAGUAGGGAAUAUUACGCAAUGGGCGAAAGCUUGACGGAGCAAAGCCGCGUGAGUGAUGAAGGUAUUCGGAUCGUAAAACUCUGUUAUUAGGGAAGAACAAAUGUGUAAGUAAAUAUGCACGUAUUGACGGUAACUAAUAAGAAAGCAACGGCUAACUACGUG
Molecule: ribosomal RNA, 497 nt
Filed under: uncultured bacterium
Lineage: Bacteria
Description: partial 16S ribosomal RNA
Rfam family: Bacterial small subunit ribosomal RNA
Source: RNAcentral